UCUACUUCUCAGUCUUUUAGCUAAUGUCAAGUAUAGUAUCUGUUCUUAUCAGUUUAAUAUCUGAUGCAUCCUCAGUAAAGGGUAUUACAUAUUACACGAAACUUUAUAGAAUAAGGAUUUGGAAGAAGGGAGGCUUGCCCUGUCUGCUCUAUGCAUUGACCUGGUAUUGUAGUGCCUCCAGGAAUUGUGCACCUCCA
Molecule: small nuclear RNA, 197 nt
Organism: Paramormyrops kingsleyae
Lineage: Eukaryota; Metazoa; Chordata; Actinopteri; Osteoglossiformes; Mormyridae
Gene: U2
Rfam family: U2 spliceosomal RNA
About the family: U2 is a small nuclear RNA (snRNA) component of the spliceosome (involved in pre-mRNA splicing).
Source: Ensembl